This 2315-nucleotide non-coding RNA is filed under the name Pongo abelii (Sumatran orangutan). Lineage: Eukaryota; Metazoa; Chordata; Mammalia; Primates; Hominidae. The record is from RNAcentral.
GGCAACAGAGUGGGACUCUAUCUGUAAGCAAAGGAAACAAAAGAAAUAGGAAACAUCACAGUCAAUGGGACACUGAACCAUUCACCUCUAGACAUGACAUGCAUCAUCCCAAGAUGGAGGAGUGUCAUGGAGAAAUCCUGCUGACCAAACUACAGUAGGAAAUGCCAGUCAAGUCAAUAUAUAAUCAGAGCCCCACCCCACCUCAGAGUGAUCUUCUCCAAGCCUGUAGCACUUCAAUUAGAUAAGUGAAAGCUUGCAAAAGGCAUUGGGGCAACAAAACAGUCUCUAUUUCUUAUCAGGGACAAAACAUACUUCCUUAUCAAACAGAGACCUAACCAAGGACACUCAUAAGGCAAGCUGUCAGUUUGUCCUUUAUAACCAAUUGUAGGCGGUGUGCACCUGUACUGAGCAAGCAGCAGGUCAUGUUUACGUGAGGAAGAAGCUAUCUAGGAAGAUCCACUUGACAUGGAUUAUAAAUAGCUAAAGAAACAAGUUCAUUUUGGUGCAUUUCAAAGACAUAUUAAAAGAAAGGUGAAGGCCAGAAGAGCAGAAGGCUCUGAGGAAAGUGCAUCACAGUGGCCCAUUACGAUGCCUGUCUAUGGUCACGUGAGCUGGCAUAUGAGAGUGCUCUGUGAGCCUCAGUGUCUUCAGUGGCAUCAUUGCACUGUGACUGUGCAGGUCCCAAACAGUAUGGACAUGAAUGUCCUCAAGCUGCAUGUUAGCAGGGCUUCUAAUUCCAUCUGCAAGUGAUAGUGUGUGGAGCUUAGUUGCACAGAGCGCAUGUUACUGGAGGAGAUAUGGGUCUGUGUCAUCCUGCAUGGGAAUUAUCCUAAAAACAAAGUGAUCAGUGACUGCUCAGGACUGUGGAAAGGUCAUUUGGAGCAGUGGGAAAAGGUCUGGCAGAGGAAUAAGAAGAUACAGGUCUUAGAACAAGCGCUGGUACUUCAACCAAGUCAUUUAACAUCUGGGGCCUUGGUUUAUUUAUCCUCCCAGAAGAUAAAGCAAUACCUGCCCUGUCUUCCUAACCUUGGAGGGGUCAAAAAAGUGAUAGGUAUGAAAGCAUUUUGUAAACUGUAGUGCAAGCAUACGGCGGGGGAGUGAACCAUACUUUCACUAGCGACUUGAAUGAGGUGAUAAAGAAAAGGCUCAGAACUUCAGAAAAUGCAAGAGGGGCUUGACCCUGGAUUGGGAGAGGAAAGCAAUGGUGGGAUCAAUACCUUGGAGGGCCAAGGACUGAGGGGUUAAGGGUCCAUGAGGACAGACCUGGAUCAUCAGGAAGCUGAGUGUGGUAAGAGUGUGGCUUCUUCAGGGAUUGGGUGGAGUACAGUCCUGCCAAGACCAUAGUAACUCAGGGCUUGGAGACAUCACAAAGGCAGGGGCUCCCAGAGCUGAGAUAAUCUGGAGAAGAGGAUACCCAUCUACUGCAUUCUGAGGUUGGGUUCGACCUUGUAGGUCAUCUUGGAUAGACGUUUUCCAGCUCUUCUUUUUUUUUGGAACAGAGAGAACCUAAUUGACCCUUAAAGUUCCACAGAGCAGAGUUUGCAAAUCUCUGGUUCAGCCUUAUUAUUUUAAUGAGAGGAGAAUGAAAUCCCAGAAAAGAGAUGUGAUUAUGUGAAGGUCACACAGCAAGUUGGUUGCCAAGCUGCAACUGGAACUCAGAAUUUCUGGUUCCCAGUUCUAUAUCUUAGCCUCCCAAACUGGCUAUGUGGACAGGAAAGAACAGAGGCAUGGGGUGAGCUUUAAGGAUGCAAUUUCAUAGGAUUCCAAGAGUCUCAAGGUUAGAGAAGUCGCCUAGUCCACCUCCCCUCUCUGCUUCUCACAGAAGGGUCUGCUGAACACUCUGGUGACAAGGUUAGAGAAGUCGCUUAGUCCACCUCCCCUCUCUGCUUCUCACAGAAGGGUCUGCUGAACACUCUGGUGACAGAGAACUCACCCAACAUGUUCCAUGGCAGAGGCUCUUCAUUAGAUCAAGGUGACAUCUGUUUUACUGGAGCUUCCAACCACGUGUCCCAAUACUGCUCUUAGUCACAUGCAUCCAGGUCCUCUCUCUCAGGACAGCACUUUGAAUAAAUGAGGACAGCUCCCAUCCCCCUUUCUCCCAGUUGACUUUCCAGAUACAUCUCAUAUUGUUGUUAGCUUUCCACCAUUUUUCCUCUUCACUUCCUGGGCCUACUACACUGUGUGUCCUCCACUUGGUCUCCUCCUGAAAGCAACACUGUGCACAAUGUUCCUGGGGGCAGACUUAUCAAACCAAGUGGACCACUUCCUUCAUCUUAGGUGUCAUAGCUCCAUCAAUGCAUCCUCAAAUUACAUUG